GAUGAACGCUGGCGGCGUGCCUAAUACAUGCAAGUCGAGCGGUAAGGCCUCUUCGGAGGUACACGAGCGGCGGACGGCUGAGUAACACGUAGGAACGUACCCCGAAGUGAGGGAUAACUGCUCGAAAGAGUAGCUAAUACCGCAUGUGAUCUAAGGAUUAAAGCUUCGGCGCUUUGGGAACGGCCUGCGCAUGAUUAGCUAGUUGGUGAGGUAAUGGCUCACCAAGGCGACGAUCAUUAGCUGGUCUGAGAGGAUGAUCAGCCAGACUGGGACUGAGACACGGCCCAGACUCCUACGGGAGGCAGCAGUAGGGAAUUUUCCACAAUGGGCGAAAGCCUGAUGGAGCAACGCCGCGUGCAGGAUGAAUGCCUUCGGGUUGUAAACUGCUUUUAUAUGUGACGAUUAUGACGGUAGCAUAUGAAUAAGGAUCGGCUAACUCCGUGCCAGCCGCCGCCGUAA
RNAcentral lists this ribosomal RNA (459 nucleotides) under uncultured bacterium. Its description in RNAcentral is "partial 16S ribosomal RNA". It matches the Rfam family "Bacterial small subunit ribosomal RNA", at positions 28 to 523 of the family's 1533-position model. The record is from RNAcentral.